This 1113-nucleotide ribosomal RNA is filed under the name Brachymenium globosum. RNAcentral's name for it is "eukaryotic LSU rRNA". It matches the Rfam family "Eukaryotic large subunit ribosomal RNA", at positions 51 to 1134 of the family's 3401-position model. The record is from RNAcentral. Lineage: Eukaryota; Viridiplantae; Streptophyta; Bryopsida; Bryales; Bryaceae.
CGGAGGACAAGAAACUAACCAGGAUUUCCCUAGUAACGGCGAGCGAACCGGAAAGAGCCCAGCUUGAAAAUCGGGGCGCCUCGCGCCCCGAAUUGUGGCCUGGAGAAGGUCCCUCUGCGACGCGCCGGACCCAAGUUCCCUGGAAAGGGACGUCAGAGAGGGUGACAACCCCGUCGAGUCCGGACUCCGCCGCUCCACGAGAACCUGUCUGCGAGUCGGACUGUUUGGGAAUGCAGUCCUAAGUGGGAGGUAAAUUCCUUCCAAGGCUAAAUAUUGGCAGGAGACCGAUAGCGAACAAGUACCGCGAGGGAAAGAUGAAAAGGACUUUGAAAAGAGAGUUAAAAGUGCUUGAAAUUGCUGGGAGGGAAGCGAAUGGAAGCUGCGGGUGCGCCCCGGUUGGAUGUGGAACGGCCCCUUCUCGGGGGCUGGUCCGCCGCUCAACGCGGGGCGCUGGUCAGCGUGGGCUGCCGCGGCGGGACAAGUGCGGGAAAUCGUUUCCCGCCCCAUGCCGUUGCGGCGGCCGAGGAACGAAGCGCGCGCCCCCUUCCCCCUCUUUGAGGCACAGGGGGGCGUGGGGCCCCGGCCCCAACUGCGCGCUCGGGACGCUGGCGUAUUGAGCUCUUCAUCCGACCCGUCUUGAAACACGGACCAAGGAGUCUAACAUGUAUGCGAGCCGGUGGGCGGCAAACCCAUUGAGGCGCAAGGAACCUGACAGGUGGGAGCCCGAGAGGGCGCACCAUCGACCGACCGUGAUCUUCUGUGAAAGGUUUGAGUGUGAGCACACAUGUUGGGACCCGAAAGAUGGUGAACUAUGCCUGAGCAGGGCGAAGCCAGAGGAAACUCUGGUGGAGGCUCGUAGCGAUACUGACGUGCAAAUCGUUCGUCAGACUUGGGUAUAGGGGCGAAAGACUAAUCGAACCAUCUAGUAGCUGGUUCCCUCCGAAGUUUCCCUCAGGAUAGCUGGAGCUCGUGUACGAGUUUUAUCAGGUAAAGCGAAUGAUUAGAGGCAUCGGGGGUGUAACACCCUCGACCUAUUCUCAAACUUUAAAUAGGUAAGCCGCCGGGGUUGCUUGGCUGAACCCCGGCACAGAAUGAGAGCUCCAAGUGGGCCAU